AUUGGAUCUCCUCCAAACAGGAUUUAAAGGUAAAUGCCUAUCCCAAUGGCAUUUUUUGUUAUCAGUCUUGUAUCUUCAGGAUUAACAGUUCAUUAAUAUUAGACACAUGGAUGCGUUAUUGUCCAAAUUUCUAUCAAGUCUCUCA
Long non-coding RNA from Oxyura jamaicensis (ruddy duck), 145 nucleotides. RefSeq lists it as uncharacterized. The record is from RefSeq and is a predicted model, not a curated record. The transcript has 3 exons. NCBI's taxonomy places the organism in Eukaryota, Metazoa, Chordata, Aves, Anseriformes, Anatidae.